AACCUGGUUGAUCCUGCCAGUAGUCAUAUGCUUGUCUCAAAGAUUAAGCCAUGCAUGUCUAAGUGUAAAUAACUUUAUACUGUGAAACUGCGAAUGGCUUACUAAAUCAGUUAUCGUUUAUUUGAUGGUCUCUUACUACUUGGAUAACCGUAGUAAUUCUAGAGCUAAUACAUGCACAAAAUCCCGACUUCUGGAAGGGAUGUAUUUAUUAGAUACAGAACCAACCCACUCCGGUGGUUUUUGGUGAUUCAUAAUAACUUCGCGAAUCGCACUGCUUUACGCUGGCGAUGAUUCAUUCAAAU
This 302-nucleotide ribosomal RNA is filed under the name uncultured marine eukaryote. RNAcentral's name for it is "bacterial SSU rRNA". It matches the Rfam family "Eukaryotic small subunit ribosomal RNA", at positions 1 to 304 of the family's 1831-position model. The record is from RNAcentral.